RNAcentral lists this unclassified non-coding RNA (239 nucleotides) under Arabidopsis thaliana (thale cress). The record is from RNAcentral. Lineage: Eukaryota; Viridiplantae; Streptophyta; Magnoliopsida; Brassicales; Brassicaceae.
ACAAAACUUGACGAAUUGUGGUGUAAAGGCAAAGAAGAUUAUAAAGGUCGUUCGAAGAGAUGGGAAUGUGAUAGUUCUUCAACUUGUUCAAGUACUAGGAAGAGUCUAUUCGGGCAAUGGUGCAAUAGGCAAUUGAGAAAACAAUUGAGGGUGUGAAACAAAGGGUUGCAAUUUGGUUAUACAUGCUCAAGCCUCACGAUUGCAAAGACUUAGUGAUGGGCCUUAUGGAUGAGAUUACU